GUUGGGGAGAGGGAGCGCGGCUCUGCGAGAACAUCCUGUACCCUCCUGGCCUCAUCCCACACCCACGAGGACGUGGACUUGGUGGCCUCCUGCCGGGACCACCACAUCAACGAGACCAAGACCCUCAACGCUUUCAUCACCCACCACAAGUUUAAAACUAAAAUCCAGCCAGACAAGCUGCUGUAAAAGAUGCUGGUGGGGGUGCUGCAUGACGGGCCCCCAUGGUGUGUACAACCGCUGCCCGUACAAGGUCCUUUUCGGGGAGGACUCCCGCCCAGCCGC
Long non-coding RNA from Harpia harpyja (harpy eagle), 282 nucleotides. RefSeq lists it as uncharacterized. Lineage: Eukaryota; Metazoa; Chordata; Aves; Accipitriformes; Accipitridae. The record is from RefSeq and is a predicted model, not a curated record. The transcript is spliced from 3 exons.